Physeter macrocephalus (sperm whale) is the source of this 105-nucleotide small nuclear RNA. Lineage: Eukaryota; Metazoa; Chordata; Mammalia; Artiodactyla; Physeteridae. The record is from Ensembl.
GCUUGCUUCAGCAACACAUAUACUAAAAUUGGAACGAUACAGAGAAGAUUAGCAUGAUCCCUGCACAAGGAAGACACACAAAUUCAUGGAACGUUCCAUAUUUUU